RNAcentral lists this small RNA (132 nucleotides) under Escherichia coli. RNAcentral's name for it is "RtT sRNA". It matches the Rfam family "RtT RNA". Rfam says of the family: This family represents a bacterial cis-regulatory element known as RtT RNA. The record is from RNAcentral. Lineage: Bacteria; Pseudomonadati; Pseudomonadota; Gammaproteobacteria; Enterobacterales; Enterobacteriaceae. RNAcentral also lists the same sequence under 19 other names.
UAUUCUGCCCCACGGGGAAGGAUGAGAAGCUUCGACUAAGGUUCGACUCGAGCGAAGCGAGAGAACGUUGCCGCAGGCAACGGCCCGAAGGGCGAGGAGCGAUAGCGACGAGUUAUCCUUCCCCCACCACCA